GAUGAACGCUGACAGAAUGCUUAACACAUGCAAGCCGAUUCAAGUUACCUUCGGGUAACGAGGAUGGCGGACGGGUGAGUAACGCGUAAGGAACUUGCCUCUUGGUCUGGGACAACUGUUGGAAACGACAGCUAAUACCGGAUAUUAUGAGAUUCUCGCAUGGGAAACUUAUGAAAGCUAUAUGCGCCAAGAGAGAGCCUUGCGUUCCAUUAGCUAGUUGGUGGGGUAACGGCCCACCAAGGCGACGAUGGAUAGCCGGCCUGAGAGGGUGAACGGCCACAAGGGGACUGAGACACGGCCCUUACUCCUACGGGAGGCAGCAGUGGGGAAUAUUGGACAAUGGGCCACAAGCCUGAUCCAGCAAUUCUGUGUGCACGAUGAAGGUCUUCGGAUUGUAAAGUGCUUUCAGUUGGGAAGAAGUAAGUGACGGUACCAACAGAAGAAGCGACGGCUAAAUACGUGCCAGCAGCCGCGGUAA
RNAcentral lists this ribosomal RNA (478 nucleotides) under uncultured bacterium. RNAcentral's name for it is "partial 16S ribosomal RNA". It matches the Rfam family "Bacterial small subunit ribosomal RNA", at positions 28 to 523 of the family's 1533-position model. The record is from RNAcentral.